UACGAAGGGUGCAAGCGUUAAUCGGAAUUACUGGGCGUAAAGCGUGCGCAGGCGGCUUUGCAAGACAGAUGUGAAAUCCCCGGGCUCAACCUGGGAACUGCAUUUGUGACUGCAAGGCUAGAGUACGGCAGAGGGGGAUGGAAUUCCGCGUGUAGCAGUGAAAUGCGUAGAUAUGCGGAGGAACACCAAUGGCGAAGGCAAUCCCCUGGGCCUGUACUGACGCUCAUGCA
Molecule: ribosomal RNA, 230 nt
Filed under: uncultured bacterium
Lineage: Bacteria
Description: partial 16S ribosomal RNA
Rfam family: Bacterial small subunit ribosomal RNA
Source: RNAcentral